GGCCCUCCGCCUUUAACUCACGGGAGGUCACACCUGCACAAUGGCCUACGGGUUCAAUUGCCGCGGUAACCUGACCGUGCAAAGGUAGCGUAAUCAAUAGCCUAUUAAUUGUUGGCCUGUAUGAAUGGUUUUACGCUGGUGGUGCUGUCUCUACAGUGUUAAUUCGAACUUAACUUCUGGGUGAAAAGGCCCAGAUACACCUGAAAGACGAUUAGACCCUAUCGAACUUUAGGUAGCCUGGAGACAGAUUACUACCCAUAAGUCCUGCUCUUCAGUAAACCUUUGGUUGGGGAAACCGGGGACUAAAAAAACCGCCCCCCCCUCCUUGAAAGUAGACACCCUCUUCAGUAGAGGUAUAACAGAACUUACCUCUAGGGCAAUCAGCCUCAGGAAAGGAACUUCAAUAGGACUAACAAGAGUCUGACAAGACAUAGCUCACUUGUAGAAUGAACCUAAAGACCUGUGUCACUUCACAGGAACCUGUUAAUUGGGAAGAGUUACCGUAGGGAUAACAGCGUAAUCCUCCCGGCGAGACCACAUUAAGGGGAGGGUUUGCGACCUCGAUGUUGGCUUAGGGCUUCCUAGAAGUGCAGGGGCUUCUAAGGGUUGGUCUGUUCGACCAUUAAAGCCUUACG
RNAcentral lists this ribosomal RNA (635 nucleotides) under Lottia scabra. RNAcentral's name for it is "partial 16S ribosomal RNA". It matches the Rfam family "Bacterial large subunit ribosomal RNA", at positions 1816 to 2600 of the family's 2925-position model. Lineage: Eukaryota; Metazoa; Mollusca; Gastropoda; Lottiidae. The record is from RNAcentral.